CAGUCGCCGCGGGAAUACGAAGGGGGCUAGCGUUGUUCGGAAUUACUGGGCGUAAAGGGCGCGUAGGCGGCCAUUCAAGUUAGAUGUGAAAGCCCUGGGCUCAACCUAGGAAUUGCAUUUGAUACUGUUUGGCUUGAGUUCGGGAGAGGUGAGUGGAAUUCCCAGUGUAGAGGUUAAAUUCGUAGAUAUUGGGAAGAACACCAGUGGCGAAGGCGGCUCACUGGACCGACACUGACGCUGAGGCGCGAAAGCGUGGGGAGCAAACAGGAUUAGAGACCCCUGUAGUCCCUGUCUCUUAUAA
This 301-nucleotide ribosomal RNA is filed under the name uncultured bacterium. RNAcentral's name for it is "partial 16S ribosomal RNA". It matches the Rfam family "Bacterial small subunit ribosomal RNA", at positions 509 to 809 of the family's 1533-position model. The record is from RNAcentral.